AGUGAACGCUGGCGGUAGGCCUAACACAUGCAAGUCGAACGGCAGCACAGUAAGAGCUUGCUCUUACGGGUGGCGAGUGGCGGACGGGUGAGGAAUACAUCGGAAUCUACUUUUUCGUGGGGGAUAACGUAGGGAAACUUACGCUAAUACCGCAUACGACCUACGGGUGAAAGCAGGGGAUCUUCGGACCUUGCGCGAUUGAAUGAGCCGAUGUCGGAUUAGCUAGUUGGCGGGGUAAAGGCCCACCAAGGCGACGAUCCGUAGCUGGUCUGAGAGGAUGAUCAGCCGCACUGGAACUGAGACACGGUCCAGACUCCUAGGGGAGGCAGCAGUGGGGAAUAUUGGACAAUGGGCGCAUGCCUGAUCCAACCAUACCGCGUGGGUGAAGAAGGGCUUCGGGUUGUAAAGCCCUUUUGUUGGGAAAGAAAAGCAGCAGGUUAAUACCCCGCUGUUCUGACGGUACCCAAAGAAUAAGCACCGGCUAACUUCGUG
Molecule: ribosomal RNA, 492 nt
Filed under: uncultured bacterium
Lineage: Bacteria
Description: partial 16S ribosomal RNA
Rfam family: Bacterial small subunit ribosomal RNA
Source: RNAcentral